Molecule: ribosomal RNA, 216 nt
Filed under: Glomeromycotina sp.
Lineage: Eukaryota; Fungi; Glomeromycota
Description: partial small subunit ribosomal RNA
Rfam family: Eukaryotic small subunit ribosomal RNA (bases 40-216)
Source: RNAcentral
GGGUCAGUAGGUUGGUCGUGUCACCGGUACGUACUGGUCUCACUGAUUCCUCCUUCCUGAAGAACCGUAAUGCCAUUAAUUUGGUGUUGCGGGGAAACAGGACUGUUACUUUGAAAAAAUUAGAGUGUUUAAAGCAAGCUAACGCUUGAAUACAUUAGCAUGGAAUAAUGAAAUAGGACGAUCGAUCCCAUUUUGUUGGUUUCUAGGAUUGACGUA